Molecule: ribosomal RNA, 518 nt
Filed under: bacterium E-1-0-10H
Lineage: Bacteria
Description: bacterial SSU rRNA
Rfam family: Bacterial small subunit ribosomal RNA
Source: RNAcentral
UACCAGCCAUGCCGCGUGUGUGAAGAAGGCCUUUUGGUUGUAAAGCACUUUAAGCGAGGAGGAGGCUACUCUAGUUAAUACCUAGAGAUAGUGGACGUUACUCGCAGAAUAAGCACCGGCUAACUCUGUGCCAGCAGCCGCGGUAAUACAGAGGGUGCAAGCGUUAAUCGGAUUUACUGGGCGUAAAGCGCGCGUAGGUGGCCAAUUAAGUCAAAUGUGAAAUCCCCGAGCUUAACUUGGGAAUUGCAUUCGAUACUGGUUGGCUAGAGUAUGGGAGAGGAUGGUAGAAUUCCAGGUGUAGCGGUGAAAUGCGUAGAGAUCUGGAGGAAUACCGAUGGCGAAGGCAGCCAUCUGGCCUAAUACUGACACUGAGGUGCGAAAGCAUGGGGAGCAAACAGGAUUAGAUACCCUGGUAGUCCAUGCCGUAAACGAUGUCUACUAGCCGUUGGGGCCUUUGAGGCUUUAGUGGCGCAGCUAACGCGAUAAGUAGACCGCCUGGGGAGUACGGUCGCAAGACU